This 456-nucleotide long non-coding RNA is filed under the name Salvia miltiorrhiza (redroot sage). Its description in RNAcentral is "long non-coding RNA (SMIL_LNC011453)". The record is from RNAcentral. Lineage: Eukaryota; Viridiplantae; Streptophyta; Magnoliopsida; Lamiales; Lamiaceae.
AUCAUGGAAGAAGAUGGAGAAGUUUAAGCCAAAGCUUACCUUGAAGUUGGCAAGACACUGGAUGGAGAUUUCUGCUCCUCCAAAAGCUUCUAAGUGUGGGAAGGGAAUGAAAUGAGAAGGUUGCUGUUGAUAAACUGAUUUGAAAAAGUGUAGUGGCAGCUGCACUUGAGUAAUCUACGAGAUUGAUGGCAGUAGGGUGGCUGAUGUAUGGGUUAGAUGGGAUGGGGGCAGCCAUAGAGAAGAUAGUUGGACUGCACACUUGAGUGUGCUAGGGAGAAGAAUGCAGAGAUAGGGGUGGGAGCUGCUGCUCCAGCACACCCACACGUCCUUUCCCCUUUUUCUUUCUUUCUUCCUUUUGCAGUUAGUAAUUUAAAGAGAUAGGAAAUAGGAUUAGAAGGAUUUGUAAGUAAAAGUUGUAAGGUAUGAGAAUGGGAUUGUGGUGAAUAAAUGAAAUAU